CAGGUGGUGUGGGAUCAACAAGAAGGCUAUUGUGGGAUGAAUAAAAAGGUGUUGUGUGGGUACCAUUGGAGGUGCGAUGCACGUGAUGACCCAAUGCCGAGUGGAGUGGGGACAAUUGUGGAUGACCGUGCUUGAGGAACCCUUAUUAUAUAGCAUGGCUAUCAUUGCUUCCUUGGUUUUUCAAUCCCCUUCCCUUUAUCAGCAUAAGAUUGAUGCUCUCCU
This 222-nucleotide long non-coding RNA is filed under the name Vigna radiata. Its description in RNAcentral is "long non-coding RNA (VRAD_LNC009704)". Lineage: Eukaryota; Viridiplantae; Streptophyta; Magnoliopsida; Fabales; Fabaceae. The record is from RNAcentral.